This 465-nucleotide ribosomal RNA is filed under the name Vreelandella stevensii. RNAcentral describes it as "partial 16S ribosomal RNA". It matches the Rfam family "Bacterial small subunit ribosomal RNA", at positions 338 to 795 of the family's 1533-position model. Lineage: Bacteria; Pseudomonadati; Pseudomonadota; Gammaproteobacteria; Oceanospirillales; Halomonadaceae. The record is from RNAcentral.
CCUACGGGAGGCAGCAGUGGGGAAUAUUGGACAAUGGGGGCAACCCUGAUCCAGCCAUGCCGCGUGUGUGAAGAAGGCCCUCGGGUUGUAAAGCACUUUCAGUGAGGAAGAACGCCUGGUGGUUAAUACCCAUCAGGAAAGACAUCACUCACAGAAGAAGCACCGGCUAACUCCGUGCCAGCAGCCGCGGUAAUACGGAGGGUGCGAGCGUUAAUCGGAAUUACUGGGCGUAAAGCGCGCGUAGGUGGCUUGAUAAGCCGGUUGUGAAAGCCCCGGGCUCAACCUGGGAACGGCAUCCGGAACUGUCAAGCUAGAGUGCAGGAGAGGAAGGUAGAAUUCCCUGUGUAGCGGUGAAAUGCGUAGAGAUCGGGAGGAAUACCAGUGGCGAAGGCGGCCUUCUGGACUGACACUGACACUGAGGUGCGAAAGCGUGGGUAGCAAACAGGAUUAGAUACCCUUGUAGUC